Molecule: ribosomal RNA, 491 nt
Filed under: uncultured bacterium
Lineage: Bacteria
Description: partial 16S ribosomal RNA
Rfam family: Bacterial small subunit ribosomal RNA
Source: RNAcentral
AGUGAACGCUGGCGGUAGGCCUAACACAUGCAAGUCGAACGGCAGCACAGUAAGAGCUUGCUCUUACGGGUGGCGAGUGGCGGACGGGUGAGGAAUACAUCGGAAUCUACUUUUUCGUGGGGGAUAACGUAGGGAAACUUACGCUAAUACCGCAUACGACCUACGGGUGAAAGCAGGGGAUCUUCGGACCUUGCGCGAUUGAAUGAGCCGAUGUCGGAUUAGCUAGUUGGCGGGGUAAAGGCCCACCAAGGCGACGAUCCGUAGCUGGUCUGAGAGGAUGAUCAGCAAAACUGGAACUGAGACACGGUCCAGACUCCUACGGGAGGCAGCAGUGGGGAAUAUUGGACAAUGGGCGCAAGCCUGAGCCAGCCAUACCGCGUGGGUGAAGAAGGCCUUCGGGUUGUAAAGCCCUUUUGUUGGGAAAGAAAAGCAGCAGGUUAAUACCCCGCUGUUCUGACGGGACCCAAAGAAUAAGCACCGGCUAACUUCGU